Molecule: ribosomal RNA, 1502 nt
Filed under: Helicobacter pylori
Lineage: Bacteria; Pseudomonadati; Campylobacterota; Epsilonproteobacteria; Campylobacterales; Helicobacteraceae
Description: bacterial SSU rRNA
Rfam family: Bacterial small subunit ribosomal RNA
Source: RNAcentral
UAUGGAGAGUUUGAUCCUGGCUCAGAGUGAACGCUGGCGGCGUGCCUAAUACAUGCAAGUCGAACGAUGAAGCUUUCUAGCUUGCUAGAAUGCUGAUUAGUGGCGCACGGGUGAGUAACGCAUAGGUUAUGUGCCUCUUAGUUUGGGAUAGCCAUUGGAAACGAUGAUUAAUACCAGAUACUCCCUACGGGGGAAAGAUUUAUCGCUAAGAGAUCAGCCUAUGUCCUAUCAGCUUGUUGGUAAGGUAAUGGCUUACCAAGGCUAUGACGGGUAUCCGGCCUGAGAGGGUGAACGGACACACUGGAACUGAGACACGGUCCAGACUCCUACGGGAGGCAGCAGUAGGGAAUAUUGCUCAAUGGGGGAAACCCUGAAGCAGCAACGCCGCGUGGAGGAUGAAGGUUUUAGGAUUGUAAACUCCUUUUGUUAGAGAAGAUAAUGACGGUAUCUAACGAAUAAGCACCGGCUAACUCCGUGCCAGCAGCCGCGGUAAUACGGAGGGUGCAAGCGUUACUCGGAAUCACUGGGCGUAAAGAGCGCGUAGGCGGGAUAGUCAGUCAGGUGUGAAAUCCUAUGGCUUAACCAUAGAACUGCAUUUGAAACUACUAUUCUAGAGUGUGGGAGAGGUAGGUGGAAUUCUUGGUGUAGGGGUAAAAUCCGUAGAGAUCAAGAGGAAUACUCAUUGCGAAGGCGACCUGCUGGAACAUUACUGACGCUGAUUGCGCGAAAGCGUGGGGAGCAAACAGGAUUAGAUACCCUGGUAGUCCACGCCCUAAACGAUGGAUGCUAGUUGUUGGAGGGCUUAGUCUCUCCAGUAAUGCAGCUAACGCAUUAAGCAUCCCGCCUGGGGAGUACGGUCGCAAGAUUAAAACUCAAAGGAAUAGACGGGGACCCGCACAAGCGGUGGAGCAUGUGGUUUAAUUCGAAGAUACACGAAGAACCUUACCUAGGCUUGACAUUGAGAGAAUCCGCUAGAAAUAGUGGAGUGUCUGGCUUGCCAGACCUUGAAAACAGGUGCUGCACGGCUGUCGUCAGCUCGUGUCGUGAGAUGUUGGGUUAAGUCCCGCAACGAGCGCAACCCCCUUUCUUAGUUGCUAACAGGUUAUGCUGAGAACUCUAAGGAUACUGCCUCCGUAAGGAGGAGGAAGGUGGGGACGACGUCAAGUCAUCAUGGCCCUUACGCCUAGGGCUACACACGUGCUACAAUGGGGUGCACAAAGAGAAGCAAUACUGCGAAGUGGAGCCAAUCUUCAAAACACCUCUCAGUUCGGAUUGUAGGCUGCAACUCGCCUGCAUGAAGCUGGAAUCGCUAGUAAUCGCAAAUCAGCCAUGUUGCGGUGAAUACGUUCCCGGGUCUUGUACUCACCGCCCGUCACACCAUGGGAGUUGUGUUUGCCUUAAGUCAGGAUGCUAAAUUGGCUACUGCCCACGGCACACACAGCGACUGGGGUGAAGUCGUAACAAGGUAACCGUAGGUGAACCUGCGGUUGGAUCACCUCCUU